RNAcentral lists this ribosomal RNA (328 nucleotides) under uncultured Bacteroidota bacterium. RNAcentral's name for it is "bacterial SSU rRNA". It matches the Rfam family "Bacterial small subunit ribosomal RNA", at positions 28 to 351 of the family's 1533-position model. Lineage: Bacteria; Pseudomonadati; Bacteroidota. The record is from RNAcentral.
GAUGAACGCUAGCGGCAGGCUUAAUACAUGCAAGUCGAGGGGCAGCAUGGUGUAGCAAUACACUGAUGGCGACCGGCAAACGGGUGCGGAACACGUACACAACCUUCCUUCGAGCGGGGAAUAGCCCAGAGAAAUUUGGAUUAAUACCCCAUAGUAAAUUGUCCCGGCAUCGGGAUGAUUUUAAAGAUUUAUCACUUGAAGAUGGGUGUGCGGCUGAUUAGGUAGUUGGCGGGGUAACGGCCCACCAAGCCUACGAUCAGUAACUGGUGUGAGAGCACGACCAGUCACACGGGCACUGAGACACGGGCCCGACUCCUACGGGAGGCAG